RNAcentral lists this ribosomal RNA (386 nucleotides) under Coenonympha arcania (pearly heath). RNAcentral's name for it is "partial 16S ribosomal RNA". The record is from RNAcentral. Lineage: Eukaryota; Metazoa; Arthropoda; Insecta; Lepidoptera; Nymphalidae.
GUCUUUUUGAUUAUAAUUUAAAGUCUAAUCUGCCCACUGAUAGAUAUUAAAGGGCUGCAGUAUAUUGACUGUACAAAGGUAGCAUAAUCAUUAGUUUUUUAAUUGGAAACUCGUAUGAAAGAUUUGAUGAAAUAUAAUCUGUCUCUUAGUUAUUAUUAAAAUUUUAUUUUUUAGUUAAAAAGCUAAAAUAAAUUUAAAAGACGAGAAGACCCUGUAGAGUUUUAUAUUUUACUAUAUUUUAAAAAUUUAUAAAAUUAAUUUUUAAAAUAUAGUAAAAUAUUAUGUUGGGGUGACAGAAAAAUUAAAUAAACUUUUUUUAAAAAUUAAACAUUAAUAAAUGAAUAGAUGAUCCAUAAAUAAUGAUUAUAAGAAAAAAUUACCUUAGG